ACGUACACUCCUGCGGGAGGCAGCAGUGGGGAAUUUUGGACAAUGGGGGCAACCCUGAUCCAGCAAUGCCGCGUGAGUGAAGAAGGCCUUCGGGUUGUAAAGCUCUUUUGUCAGGGAAGAAACGGUAGUAGCGAAUAACUAUUACUAAUGACGGUACCUGAAGAAUAAGCACCGGCUAACUACGUGCCAGCAGCCGCGGUAAUACGUAGGGUGCAAGCGUUAAUCGGAAUUACUGGGCGUAAAGCGUGCGCAGGCGGUUGUGUAAGUCAGAUGUGAACUCCCCGGGCUCAACCUGGGAAUUGCAUUUGAGACUGCACGGCUAGAGUGUGUCAGAGGGGGGUAGAAUUCCACGUGUAGCAGUGAAAUGCGUAGAUAUGUGGAGGAAUACCGAUGGCGAAGGCAGCCCCCUGGGAUAACACUGACGCUCAUGCACGAAAGCGUGGGGAGCAAACAGGAUUAGAAACCCUAGUAGUCCC
This 476-nucleotide ribosomal RNA is filed under the name uncultured organism. RNAcentral's name for it is "partial 16S ribosomal RNA". It matches the Rfam family "Bacterial small subunit ribosomal RNA", at positions 329 to 797 of the family's 1533-position model. The record is from RNAcentral.